This 39-nucleotide unclassified non-coding RNA is filed under the name Bradyrhizobium diazoefficiens USDA 110. Lineage: Bacteria; Pseudomonadati; Pseudomonadota; Alphaproteobacteria; Hyphomicrobiales; Nitrobacteraceae. The record is from RNAcentral.
AAGCCCACCAGCGGGCUAGCCCUAGAAGCGGGUUUUGGC